Molecule: ribosomal RNA, 253 nt
Filed under: uncultured bacterium
Lineage: Bacteria
Description: partial 16S ribosomal RNA
Rfam family: Bacterial small subunit ribosomal RNA
Source: RNAcentral
UACGGAGGAGGCAAGCGUUAUCCGGAAUUAUUGGGCGUAAAGCGUCCGCAGGUGGCGAUUCAAGUCUGCGGUCAAAGACUGGGGCUUAACCCUGGGAAGGCCGUGGAAACUGAAAAGCUAGAGUGCAGUAGGGGUAGAGGGAAUUCCCGGUGUAGCGGUGAAAUGCGUAGAGCUCGGGAAGAACAUCGGUGGCGAAAGCGCUCUGCUGGACUGCAACUGACACUCAGGGACGAAAGCUAGGGGAGCGAAUGGG